This 204-nucleotide long non-coding RNA is filed under the name Elaeis guineensis (African oil palm). RNAcentral's name for it is "long non-coding RNA (EGUI_LNC029514)". The record is from RNAcentral. Lineage: Eukaryota; Viridiplantae; Streptophyta; Magnoliopsida; Arecales; Arecaceae.
CAAGUGACUGGAAUAUGCUUAGAGAAGUAUCUGGGUAAAGAGUUGUCCAUGCAUCGAUGUUUAUUCAUAUUAUCAAUAACUGUUAGGUGAGGUGCACGAUAUUGGUGGGACCGCAGCACCCACUAGAAACUCAAUUGUCACGUUAGAAUUUUUGUUUCUCCACCUAGAGAGUGUGGGAGUUCUGAUAAAAUAGUAGGAGUCUCU